Amphimedon queenslandica is the source of this 392-nucleotide long non-coding RNA. RefSeq lists it as uncharacterized. NCBI's taxonomy places the organism in Eukaryota, Metazoa, Porifera, Demospongiae, Haplosclerida, Niphatidae. The record is from RefSeq and is a predicted model, not a curated record. The transcript has 3 exons.
UACAUCAUUGUCUAGAUAGAUAUUGUAUAUUGUUAAUCGAAAUUUUAAUCGUUUUGCUCGCCCCUUAAUGUUUUACAUUUGCUAGUAUUAUUCAUUAGUUAUUGUCAAUGUUGUGAUAAGUUUGUGUCACAUCACUCAUGUGAUUAGAUAAGUCAGUAGUUUGUGAGGGAGUGAACUGUGAAGAUGGCCACUGGUAGUGAAUCAGAAAAUAGUAUAAAAUAUUCUGGACUGUUAUUAUAUGAGGAGAAAGGUAUAAAUGACUAUCUAGUAAGUUUUAUGGUAGCUAAAAAUACAGGAGCACUCUUUGAAUAUAUUGAAAAGAACUGUCCUGAUGCUGAGAUUGGUCAAACUGUCUAUUUUAAAAUUGCCCAGAAAGAUUCUACACUUAUAUC